Molecule: ribosomal RNA, 301 nt
Filed under: uncultured bacterium
Lineage: Bacteria
Description: partial 16S ribosomal RNA
Rfam family: Bacterial small subunit ribosomal RNA
Source: RNAcentral
CAGCCGCCGCGGUAACACGUAGGUGGCAAGCGUUGUCCGGAAUUAUUGGGCGUAAAGCGCGCGCAGGCGGAUAGGUCAGUCUGUCUUAAAAGUUCGGGGCUUAACCCCGUGAUGGGAUGGAAACUGCCAAUCUAGAGUAUCGGAGAGGAAAGUGGAAUUCCUAGUGUAGCGGUGAAAUGCGUAGAUAUUAGGAAGAACACCAGUGGCGAAGGCGACUUUCUGGACGAAAACUGACGCUGAGGCGCGAAAGCCCGGGGAGCGAACGGGAUUAGAUACCCCAGUAGUCCCUGUCUCUUAUACA